UACAUAGACCUCAAGCGUUAUCCGGAUUUACUGGGCGUAAAGCGUGCGUAGGCGUUUCGUUAAGUCUCUCGUGAAAGCCCUCGGCUCAACUGAGGAAUUGUUAGAGAUACUGGCGGAAUAGAGUAUGGCAGAGGCAGACGGAAUUCUUGGUGUAGCGGUAAAAUGCGUUGAUAUCAAGAAGAACACCAGUGGCGAAGGCGGUCUGCUGGGCCAGUACUGACGCUGAGGUACGAAAGCGUGGGUAGCGAACGGG
Molecule: ribosomal RNA, 253 nt
Filed under: uncultured bacterium
Lineage: Bacteria
Description: partial 16S ribosomal RNA
Rfam family: Bacterial small subunit ribosomal RNA
Source: RNAcentral